RNAcentral lists this ribosomal RNA (604 nucleotides) under uncultured bacterium. RNAcentral describes it as "bacterial SSU rRNA". It matches the Rfam family "Bacterial small subunit ribosomal RNA", at positions 211 to 831 of the family's 1533-position model. The record is from RNAcentral.
UCCGGUGGUAUACGAUGGAUCCGCGUCUGAUUAGCUGGUUGGCGGGGUAACAGCCCACCAAGGCGACGAUCAGUAGCCGGCCUGAGAGGGUGAACGGCCACAUUGGGACUGAGACACGGCCCAAACUCCUACGGGAGGCAGCAGUGGGGAAUAUUGCACAAUGGGGGAAACCCUGAUGCAGCAACGCCGCGUGGGUGAAGGAGCGUUUCGGCGCGUAAAGCCCUGUCAGCGGGGAAGAAGAAAGACGGUACCCGACCAAGAAGCCCCGGCUAACUACGUGCCAGCAGCCGCGGUAAUACGUAGGGGGCGAGCGUUAUCCGGAAUUACUGGGUGUAAAGGGAGCGUAGACGGCGAGGUAAGCCUGAAGUGGAAGCCCGCGGCCCAACCGCGGAACUGCUUUGGGAACUGUUUUGCUGGAGUAUGGGAGGGGUAAGCGGAAUUCCUGGUGUAGCGGUGAAAUGCGUAGAUAUCAGGAGGAACACCGGUGGCGAAGGCGGCUUACUGGACCAUAACUGACGUUGAGGCUCGAAAGCGUGGGGAGCGAACAGGAUUAGAUACCCUGGUAGUCCACGCCGUAAACGAUGAUUACCAGGUGUCGGGUGUC